AUUGGGGGUAGAGCACUGUUAAGGCUAGGGGGUCAUCCCGACUUACCAACCCUUUGCAAACUCCGAAUACCAAUGAGUACUACUCGGGAGACACACGACGGGUGCUAACGUCCGCCGUGAAAAGGGAAACAACCCAGACCACCAGCUAAGGUCCCAAAGUCAUGGUUAAGUGGAAAACGAUGUGGAAAGGCAUAGACAGCUAGGAGGUUGGCUUAGAAGCAGCCACCCUUUAAAGAAAGCGUAAUAG
Molecule: ribosomal RNA, 247 nt
Filed under: Mesorhizobium sp.
Lineage: Bacteria; Pseudomonadati; Pseudomonadota; Alphaproteobacteria; Hyphomicrobiales; Phyllobacteriaceae
Description: partial 23S ribosomal RNA
Rfam family: Bacterial large subunit ribosomal RNA
Source: RNAcentral